This 350-nucleotide ribosomal RNA is filed under the name uncultured bacterium. RNAcentral describes it as "bacterial SSU rRNA". It matches the Rfam family "Bacterial small subunit ribosomal RNA", at positions 28 to 376 of the family's 1533-position model. The record is from RNAcentral.
GAUGAACGCUAGCGGCAGGCCUAACACAUGCAAGUCGAGGGGUAACGUGAGUGCUUGCACUUGACGACGACCGGCGCACGGGUGCGGAACGCGUAUGGAACCUACCUUUAUCAGGGGGAUAGCCCAUGGAAACGUGGAUUAAUACCCCAUAGUAUUAUUUCAUUGCAUGAUGAUAUAAUUAAAGAAUUUCGGAUAGAGAUGGCCAUGCGUAUCAUUAGCUAGUAGGCGAGGUAACGGCUCACCUAGGCGACGAUGAUUAGGGGUCCUGAGAGGGAGAUCCCCCACACUGGUACUGAGACACGGACCAGACUCCUACGGGAGGCAGCAGUGAGGAAUAUUGGGCAAUGGAG